Long non-coding RNA from Leopardus geoffroyi (Geoffroy's cat), 592 nucleotides. RefSeq lists it as uncharacterized. The record is from RefSeq and is a predicted model, not a curated record. The transcript is spliced from 2 exons. Lineage: Eukaryota; Metazoa; Chordata; Mammalia; Carnivora; Felidae.
CAUCCAAAAUUCGAAGUAAACAUCCAAGAAAGGUCACCGCAGCCCGAAAUCUACCACCCAAGCAGCUUCAGAAGCGCGGGAGCCAGGGAGCCCGGCCACGCGAAGGACCCUGGGGAUGUAGUCCCCAGGUCGACCCUUUCCGCAAAUCCGCAGAACUAGGCAACACUCAGGAACUACAACUCCCAGAAGGGAGCGCGGCUCCGCGACGCCCACAGUCCCGCAUCGAAAGAACUGGUACAGAACUGCACACCUAAACCCAGGCUUCUUCUCUCCACCAGCACAAAAGUAACAUCUAAGGAGUGAGGUCAUCAUGAACAUUUUCUAAGACCGCUGACUCCAGACACCUUGACACCAGGACCACUGGCUCCAAGGCAUAAACGACUCAUGAAGGACACCUGAGCACUUGCCCUUGUUUUGACCAGUUCCUGGAUGCCUGACAGAACAUGUACACCAGACCAACAUCCUCAGUAAAAACUCCAGACCCCAAGCAAAGAUGAGACUCAUUCUCCUUUUCCUUUCUGAGUCUCCUAGAUGCUCAGUCUGUAUCUGCCCUCUUUAGAUCUUCAAUAAAUGCUACUUUAACUUCCUCCCA